Triticum urartu is the source of this 133-nucleotide non-coding RNA. Lineage: Eukaryota; Viridiplantae; Streptophyta; Magnoliopsida; Poales; Poaceae. The record is from Rfam.
CAAAUACUCCCUCCGUCCAGAAAUACUUGUUAUCAAAAUAAAUAAAAGGGAUGUAUCUAAAUAUAUAUUAAUUCUAGAUACAUCGAUUUUUAUCUAUUUUGAUAACAACUAUUUUCGGAUGGAGUGGUAGUUG